RNAcentral lists this ribosomal RNA (497 nucleotides) under uncultured bacterium. RNAcentral describes it as "partial 16S ribosomal RNA". It matches the Rfam family "Bacterial small subunit ribosomal RNA", at positions 28 to 507 of the family's 1533-position model. The record is from RNAcentral.
GAUGAACGCUGGCGGCGUGCCUAAUACAUGCAAGUCGAGCGAACGGACGAGAAGUUUGCUUCCUUGAUGUUAGCGGCGGACGGGUGAGUAACACGUGGAUAACCUACCUAUAAGACUGGGAUAACUUCGGGAAACCGGAGCUAACACCGGAUGAUAUUUUGAACCGCAUGGUUCAACAGUGAAAGACGGUCUUGCUGUCACUUAUAGAUGGAUCCGCGCUGCAUUAGCUAGUUGGUAAGGUAACGGCUUACCAAGGCAACGAUGCAUAGCCGACCUGAGAGGGUGAUAGGCCACACGGGAGCGGAGACGCGGUCAAGACUCCUGCGGGAGGCAGCAGUAGGGUAUCUUCCGCAAUGGGCGAGAGCCUGACGGAGCAAGGCCGCGUGAGUGAUGACGGUCUUCGGAUCGUAAAACUCUGUUAUUAGGGAAGAACAUAUGUGUAAGUAACUGUGCACAUCUUGACGGUACCUAAUCAGAAAGCCACGGCUAACUACGUG